GACGAACGCUGGCGGCGUGCUUAACACAUGCAAGUCGAGCGGUAAGGCCCUUUCGGGGGUACACGAGCGGCGAACGGGUGAGUAACACGUGGGUGACCUGCCCUUAGCUCUGGGAUAAGCCUGGGAAACUGGGUCUAAAUACCGGAUAUGACUCCAUGACGCAUGUUGUGGGGUGAAAGCCUUGUGCGGCUAGGGAUGGGCCUGCGGCCUAUCAGCUUGUUGGUGGGGUGAUGGCCUACCAAGGCGACGACGGGUAGCCGGCCUGAGAGGGCGACCGGCCACACUGGGACUGAGACACGGCCCAGACUCCUACGGGAGGCAGCAGUGGGGAAUCUUGCGCAAUGGGCGAAAGCCUGACGCAGCGACGCCGCGUGGGGAUGACGGCCU
This 387-nucleotide ribosomal RNA is filed under the name uncultured bacterium. RNAcentral's name for it is "bacterial SSU rRNA". It matches the Rfam family "Bacterial small subunit ribosomal RNA", at positions 28 to 417 of the family's 1533-position model. The record is from RNAcentral.